This 455-nucleotide ribosomal RNA is filed under the name Sceloporus cozumelae. Its description in RNAcentral is "partial 16S ribosomal RNA". It matches the Rfam family "Bacterial large subunit ribosomal RNA", at positions 1923 to 2574 of the family's 2925-position model. Lineage: Eukaryota; Metazoa; Chordata; Lepidosauria; Squamata; Phrynosomatidae. The record is from RNAcentral.
UUUAACGGCCGCGGUAUCCUAACCGUGCAAAGGUAGGGUAAUCACUUGUCUCCUAAAUAAGGACCAGUAUGAAUGGCUAAAUGAGGGCCAGCCUGUCUCCUUUAACUAAUCAGUGAAACUGAUCUACCAGUACAAAAGCUGGUAUUAUACCAUAAGACGAGAAGACCCCGUGGAGCUUCAAACCAUACACCAAGUAAACUVMCAACAUACGCCUUUGGUAGAAGGUUUUAAGUUGGGGCGACUUCGGAAUAAAACAAAACUUCCGAGCAUAAAGAUAUUAUCUAACCAAGACUUCCAAGUCAAAGACAAACUUGACCCAGCAUUUGCUGACCAYCGAACCAAGUUACCCCGGGGAUAACAGCGCAAUCUUCUUCAAGAGUCCAUAUCGACAAGAAGGUUUACGACCUCGAUGUUGGAUCAGGACACCCAAAUGGUGUAGCCGCUAUUAAAGGUUC